Small nuclear RNA from Apodemus sylvaticus (European woodmouse), 159 nucleotides. RefSeq annotates it as U1 spliceosomal RNA. The transcript has a single exon. NCBI's taxonomy places the organism in Eukaryota, Metazoa, Chordata, Mammalia, Rodentia, Muridae. The record is from RefSeq and is a predicted model, not a curated record.
ACACUUACCUAGUGGGGAGAUACCCUGGUCAUAAAGGUGGUUUUCCCAGGGCAAGGUUUAUCUUUCUGAUGAGCUGAUACUUGCAGCUUCCUCAAAUGGGAGGGGGAACUUGACUGCAUCAUUUAUGGUAGUAGGGUACUGUGUUCAUGUUCUUCCCUU